Molecule: ribosomal RNA, 789 nt
Filed under: uncultured bacterium
Lineage: Bacteria
Description: bacterial SSU rRNA
Rfam family: Bacterial small subunit ribosomal RNA
Source: RNAcentral
AAACUUCUUUAUCACCGAGUGCUUGCACUCACCGAUAAAGAGUUGAGUGGCGAACGGGUGAGUAACACGUGGGCAACCUGCCCAAAAGAGGGGGAUAACACUUGGAAACAGGUGCUAAUACCGCAUAACCAUAGUUACCGCAUGGUAACUAUGUAAAAGGUGGCUAUGCUACCGCUUUUGGAUGGGCCCGCGGCGCAUUAGCUAGUUGGUGGGGUAAAGGCUUACCAAGGCAAUGAUGCGUAGCCGAACUGAGAGGUUGAUCGGCCACAUUGGGACUGAGACACGGCCCAAACUCCUACGGGAGGCAGCAGUAGGGAAUCUUCCACAAUGGGCGAAAGCCUGAUGGAGCAACGCCGCGUGGGUGAAGAAGGUCUUCGGAUCGUAAAACCCUGUUGUUAGAGAAGAAAGUGCGUGAGAGUAACUGUUCACGUUUCGACGGUAUCUAACCAGAAAGCCACGGCUAACUACGUGCCAGCAGCCGCGGUAAUACGUAGGUGGCAAGCGUUAUCCGGAUUUAUUGGGCGUAAAGGGAACGCAGGCGGUCUUUUAAGUCUGAUGUGAAAGCCUUCGGCUUAACCGGAGUAGUGCAUUGGAAACUGGGAGACUUGAGUGCAGAAGAGGAGAGUGGAACUCCAUGUGUAGCGGUGAAAUGCGUAGAUAUAUGGAAGAACACCAGUGGCGAAAGCGGCUCUCUGGUCUGUAACUGACGCUGAGGUUCGAAAGCGUGGGUAGCAAACAGGAUUAGAUACCCUGGUAGUCCACGCCGUAAACGAUGAAUGCUAAGUGUUG